AAUUUACAUAGUAUAAAAAUUAUACUUGACUUCCAAUCAAGAGAUCUACCUAAAUAGUGUAAAU
RNAcentral lists this transfer RNA (64 nucleotides) under Agrilinae sp. 1 ACP-2013. Its description in RNAcentral is "tRNA-Gly". Lineage: Eukaryota; Metazoa; Arthropoda; Insecta; Coleoptera; Buprestidae. The record is from RNAcentral.